AGCUUUUACAUCGCCUCAUCAUUUUCAGCGUCUUUAGUUAUUUCAGAAUGUGAGACAGAUUCGGAAACGAAAGAAAAAGUGGCAGAGAUCUAAUUGAUGAAUUGAACCCCCAUCUGCGGCUAUGUUCUCUUUUUGUUCAAC
This is a non-coding RNA of Caenorhabditis elegans, 141 nucleotides long. The record is from Ensembl. NCBI's taxonomy places the organism in Eukaryota, Metazoa, Nematoda, Chromadorea, Rhabditida, Rhabditidae.